AGGCCUUCAUUUUGUUUUUUUUUUGUUUUUUAUUUGCCUUUUGGUUUUACCUUCUUCUGAAAAGCUCCGAUACGUCGUACUCCGUUCACUGCUGUAGGAAAAAAGAAAAAAUCUCUCCUUCACCUCCGUCGGGCCCGGGCAAAACCCAUUACUGGACUCUCACUUCACUUGGUUGAAGAACGGAUAGAGCAAAUUUCCAUAUGUUGAGAACGACUGCUUUACGGAAUGUUGUCAAGAAUUGUAGAUGGAUGUAUUUUUCAGAAGGAAGAUGGGUGGGCACUAUGACUCCGAAGAAACAAGCUAAUGAUGAUGCUGGGGAAGGACACAUGGUAGAGACUAAGGCUAAUCCUGAUCCAACUGUUGCUUUCGGCAGACCACCUCCGCUUCCACCUGUUCUUGGACCAUUAGUUGCUUUCUCACUGUUGGAGCCAUGGUUACAACGGGAUGGCGAUGAUGAUUGAAAGUUGAACUAAGGCCUUCCCUUGAGUAAGCUAAUGAAUUGUGAAUAGUUGCUUCAAAUGCAAGUUUUGGUUGUCCUCUUUUUGUAGAUAAGCCCACUCUGAAAUGUGGAUGUACAUGUUUUCUUGAAUGUGAAGUUGAAAAGUUACUGCUCGCAAAUAAAACUGUUAUGGCAUUUACGAGCUAAUAAUCUUUGCAAUGUA
Molecule: long non-coding RNA, 662 nt
Organism: Coffea arabica (coffee)
Lineage: Eukaryota; Viridiplantae; Streptophyta; Magnoliopsida; Gentianales; Rubiaceae
Source: RefSeq, a predicted model, not a curated record